AAGGCUUCAGUAUGAUCAGUCAGAACUAUAAGUCUCAAAGCCCCGACGAGUAGGGUGGCGUGCCGGUGCGCGUUGAAGGCCAAGACGUGAGUCAGGCUGGAGCCGCCGGUAGUGCAGAUCUUGGUGGUAGUAGCAAGUACUCUGGUGAACAACCUGGAGCUGUGAGGUCUGGAUCAGGGUUCCAUGUCAACAGCGAUUGAACAUGGGUGAGUCGGUCCUAAGCCAACUGUGAAAGCAGUGACAUCCCGUCAAGGGCGAUCAUGUGCAAGCAAGCAAGCAAGCAAAAAAUUGUCUGGAUUGUGUGUGCCACGCGGGUUCGCAUUUAAGAACUGCUGCUGGGCCACCGUGAAGUUUUGGUGCUCUGCGCUCACUUGCCUGGUCAUAGCUGCUCGGUGUAGUGUGUAGCGAUGUUGCGUGGCUCUCUCGCUCAGUCCCUCCCUAGUCGUGAUGACGAUAACUUACUCGACUCGUAAAACAGCGAGAAACACGCGACUUGGGGGAUCUGGGCAGUAGUAGUCGUAGGGGCCUAGGUCGUGCCCUGUGAAAGCGCAACGUCGUAUACACCACCAAUGCACCAGCGGGAAUAUAAAUGACUCGAGCAAAGACACCUUAACCUGCUCCCCAGCAGCGAUGCGAGACGCGCUCGUAACAACGCACGCACGCACUGCAUGUAGUAGCCCGAGUACGGUUUCUAUGUCUGGCGAAAGAGAAUGGGGACUUUGUUCCUAGACCGGUCCCGGCACCCUCGAUAGGCUUACGCCAAUCACUGGUCCAUGUAAAUGAAACCAGGCCACAGCCGCCGGCAGUCGCCCGAGGAAGAGUUUUCUUUUCUGCUUAACGCACGAGGCCAUCCCUGGAAGCAGUUCGGCUGGCGAAAGGGUGUCCCGUUGCGGCAGAGCGCCACGACUGUCGUGUGCGUCUCGGUGUUCCUGCCGGUCCGUGAAGACGUGGUCGAGGGGAUUGCUCUUGUUCAGUAUAUACACGCCCGACAAGUUCGGGUCCGACCGUACCCUAUAUCCGCAUCCGGUAUCCAAGGUUCGUAGCCUCUGCAGACUCAGACACAUGUAGGUAAGGGAAGUCGGCAAACUCGAUCCGUAACUUCGGGAUAAGGAUUGGCUCUGAGAGUCGAGCUGGACCGGGCCUUGUCUGCAAAGCAGUACCUAUAGUGACCGGGGUUCUGGGGUGUGGGGGCCUAGUAGUGCCGUCAAAAGCACGAGCGGCUCGUCCGCCCCACCCAACCACGAACGGCUGUGACGGCAGGGCUUAGGGCGGGGACACACUCAAAUGUUGGCUUCCAGCGCGUCUGGAUAGCGGCAGUGUCUCGCAUGUCCCACACGGCUCCAGCGCCUAGCGACUAGCUCAGAACUGUCAUGGACCAAGGGAAUCCGACUGUCUAAUUAAAACAAAGCGUUGUGACGGCCCCUGUUGGGUGUUGACGCAACGUGAUUUC
RNAcentral lists this ribosomal RNA (1450 nucleotides) under Synurella ambulans. RNAcentral's name for it is "eukaryotic LSU rRNA". It matches the Rfam family "Eukaryotic large subunit ribosomal RNA", at positions 1357 to 2198 of the family's 3401-position model. The record is from RNAcentral. Lineage: Eukaryota; Metazoa; Arthropoda; Malacostraca; Amphipoda; Crangonyctidae.